AGCAGCCGCGGUAAUUCCAGCUCCAAUAGCGUAUAUUAAAGUUGUUGCAGUUAAAAAGCUCGUAGUUGAAUUUCGGGAUCAAAUUGUCGGUCGUGCCUCGGUACGUACUGGCGUUAUUGGUUCCUCCCUUCUGAAGAACCGCGAUGUCAUUAAUUUGGUGUCGCGGGGAAUCAGGACUGUUACUUUGAAAAAAUUAGAGUGUUUAAAGCAGGCUCGCGCUUGAAUACAUUAGCAUGGAAUAAUGAAAUAGGACGUUUGAUUCUAUUUUGUUGGUUUCUAGGAUCGACGUAAUGAUUAAUAGGGAUAGUUGGGGGGCAUUAGUAUUCAAUUGUCAGAGGUGAAAUUCUUGGAUUUAUUGAAGACUAACUACUGCGAAAGCAUUUUGCCAAGGAUGUUUUUCAUUAAUCAAGAACGAAAGUUAGGGGAUCGAAGACGAUCAGAUACCGUCGUAGUCUUAACCAUAAACUAUGCCGACUAGGGAUCGGAUGAUGUUAAUUUUUUUAAUGACUCAUUCGGCGCC
RNAcentral lists this ribosomal RNA (520 nucleotides) under uncultured Glomus. RNAcentral describes it as "SSU rRNA". It matches the Rfam family "Eukaryotic small subunit ribosomal RNA", at positions 569 to 1087 of the family's 1831-position model. Lineage: Eukaryota; Fungi; Glomeromycota; Glomeromycetes; Glomerales; Glomeraceae. The record is from RNAcentral.